CCUACGGGUGGCAGCAGUGAGGAAUAUUGGUCAAUGGCCGCAGGUCUGAACCAGCCAAGUCGCGUGAGGGAUGACUGUCCUAUGGAUUGUAAACCUCUUUUAUCAGGGAGUAAAGGGCGCCACGUGUGGCGCUUUGCGAGUACCUUAAGAAAAAGCAUCGGCUAACUCCGUGCCAGCAGCCGCGGUAAUACGGAGGAUCCGAGCGUUAUCCGGAUUUAAUGGGUUUAAAGGGUGCGGAGGCGGGUAGUCAAGUCAGCGGUGAAAGUUUGGGGCUCAACCCCGGGCUUGCGUUGGAAAUGGGCGGUCUUGAGUGCGGGUGAGGUAGGCGGAAUGCGUGGGGUAGCGGUGAAAUGCAUAGAUAUCACGAAGAACCCCGAUUGCGAAGGCAGCUUACUGGACUGCAACUGACGUUGAUGCACGAAAGCGUGGGUAUCAAACAGGAUUAGAUACCCCAGUAGUC
This 460-nucleotide ribosomal RNA is filed under the name uncultured bacterium. RNAcentral's name for it is "partial 16S ribosomal RNA". It matches the Rfam family "Bacterial small subunit ribosomal RNA", at positions 338 to 795 of the family's 1533-position model. The record is from RNAcentral.